CUGGCGGCGUGCUUAACACAUGCAAGUCGAGCGUUUCACUUUUGCGGAUUUCUUCGGAUUGAAGCAAUUGUGACUGAGCGGCGGACGGGUGAGUAACGCGUGGGUAACCUGCCUCAUACAGGGGGAUAACAGUUGGAAACGGCUGCUAAUACCGCAUAAGCGCACAGUACCGCAUGGUACCGUGUGAAAAACUCCGGUGGUAUGAGAUGGACCCGCGUCUGAUUAGCUAGUUGGUGGGGUAACGGCCUACCAAGGCGACGAUCAGUAGCCGACCUGAGAGGGUGACCGGCCACAUUGGGACUGAGACACGGCCCAAACUCCUACGGGAGGCAGCAGUGGGGAAUAUUGCACAAUGGGGGAAACCCUGAUGCAGCGACGCCGCGUGAGCGAUGAAGUAUUUCGGUAUGUAAAGCUCUAUCAGCAGGGAAGAAAAUGACGGUACCUGACUAAGAAGCCCCGGCUAACUACGUGCCAGCAGCCGCGGUAAUACGUAGGGGGCAAGCGUUAUCCGGAUUUACUGGGUGUAAAGGGAGCGUAGACGGCAUGGCAAGCCAGAUGUGAAAGCCCGGGGCUCAACCCCGGGACUGCAUUUGGAACUGUCAGGCUAGAGUGUCGGAGAGGAAAGCGGAAUUCCUAGUGUAGCGGUGAAAUGCGUAGAUAUUAGGAGGAACACCAGUGGCGAAGGCGGCUUUCUGGACGAUGACUGACGUUGAGGCUCGAAAGCGUGGGGAGCAAACAGGAUUAGAUACCC
RNAcentral lists this ribosomal RNA (751 nucleotides) under uncultured organism. RNAcentral describes it as "SSU rRNA". It matches the Rfam family "Bacterial small subunit ribosomal RNA", at positions 36 to 787 of the family's 1533-position model. The record is from RNAcentral.